Thalassophryne amazonica is the source of this 329-nucleotide long non-coding RNA. RefSeq lists it as uncharacterized. The transcript is spliced from 3 exons. The record is from RefSeq and is a predicted model, not a curated record. NCBI's taxonomy places the organism in Eukaryota, Metazoa, Chordata, Actinopteri, Batrachoidiformes, Batrachoididae.
ACACGACGGGUCGGAAGAGCAGGAGCGGAGAAGAGGCGCCAGGUAAUGGAGAAAUUCCAGAAAGCACCAUUUGAGGAGAUUGCCGCCCACUGUGAGUCCAAGGCAAACUUGUUGCACGAACGCCUGGCACAAAUCUUCGAACUGACGAUCCGGCCGCCGCCCAGCCCAUCGGGCGUGGUUUCCAUCUCAACGGGACACGCCCAGCACCAGUCCGUACCCGUCUACGAGAUGAAGUUUCCGGACCUGUGUGUCUACUGACGGCUUUCACUCAAACACUCCACCGCAAAGUUACAGAAUACAAAAAUAAAAAUGCUGUGAAGCUAAACGUU